CACGUAGGGUGCGAGCGUUGUCCGGAAUUAUUGGGCGUAAAGAGCUCGUAGGCGGCGUGUCGAGUCGGCCGUGAAAACCUGCAGCUUAACUGUGGGCGUGCGGUCGAUACGGGCAUGACUGGAGUUCGGCAGGGGAGACUGGAAUUCCUGGUGUAGCGGUGAAAUGCGCAGAUAUCAGGAGGAACACCGGUGGCGAAGGCGGGUCUCUGGGCCGAUACUGACGCUGAGGAGCGAAAGCGUGGGGAGCGAACAGG
RNAcentral lists this ribosomal RNA (254 nucleotides) under uncultured bacterium. Its description in RNAcentral is "partial 16S ribosomal RNA". It matches the Rfam family "Bacterial small subunit ribosomal RNA", at positions 524 to 776 of the family's 1533-position model. The record is from RNAcentral.